AUAAGGCAAUCGCCGAGUUCCUUUUAAUGGAAGCGGGGGACCCGUUUUUGGGGUGAAUCCUGUGAAACAGGUAGGGCAAAUUUCUUUCUGUCCGAAUCCGUCAGCUAACCUCGUAGGCGUUGAAAGAGAAGGAUA
RNAcentral lists this small RNA (135 nucleotides) under Sporomusa sphaeroides. RNAcentral's name for it is "Sporomusa sp. c-di-AMP sequence". It matches the Rfam family "c-di-AMP riboswitch aptamer (ydaO/yuaA leader)". From Rfam's summary of the family: This family represents a conserved RNA structure found upstream of the ydaO and yuaA genes in Bacillus subtilis and related genes in other bacteria. The ydaO/yuaA element is thought to act as a genetic "off" switch for the ydaO and yuaA genes in its native state. The record is from RNAcentral. Lineage: Bacteria; Bacillati; Bacillota; Negativicutes; Selenomonadales; Sporomusaceae.